CUGGUGGAUCCUGCCAGUAGUUAUAUGCUUAUCUCAAAGAUUAAGCCUUGCAAGCACAUGCUGUGUUACGGCAAAACUGUGAAUAACUCUUAAAUCAGUUAUGGUUCCUUAGAUUGUAUUUUAUUGCAUGGCUAAUUGAGGCAAUUUUAGAGCUAACACAUACAGUUGAGCUCUGAUCCUCUGGGAAUGAGUGCUUUUAUUAGAUCAAAACUAGUCUGACCAACUGUCUAUAUUAUGUCAUGACUGUGUAUAACUUUGGGCUGGAUGUGCAGGCUUGUCCUGGUUCCAUAUCUUUCAAGUGUCUACCUUGUCAAUAAGUGAUUACAGGUUAUGCACCUACCAUAGUCAUAACAGGGGACAGGAUCAGUGUUCGAUUCCAGAGAGGGAGCUUUAGAAACAGCUGCCACAUCGAAGGAACACAUACAAAUUACCCACUCGCAGAACAGGGAGGUAGUGACAAAAAAUAACACUAUGAGACUCUUUUAAAAUCCCAUAAUAGGCAUGAGCACACUAAAUCCUUUAAUGAGGAUCAGUUGGAGGAUGUAAU
Molecule: non-coding RNA, 547 nt
Filed under: Stegodyphus mimosarum
Lineage: Eukaryota; Metazoa; Arthropoda; Arachnida; Araneae; Eresidae
Description: Eukaryotic small subunit ribosomal RNA
Rfam family: Eukaryotic small subunit ribosomal RNA
Source: Rfam by way of RNAcentral